This 492-nucleotide ribosomal RNA is filed under the name uncultured bacterium. RNAcentral's name for it is "partial 16S ribosomal RNA". It matches the Rfam family "Bacterial small subunit ribosomal RNA", at positions 29 to 507 of the family's 1533-position model. The record is from RNAcentral.
AGUGAACGCUGGCGGUAGGCCUAACACAUGCAAGUCGAACGGCAGCACAGUAAGAGCUUGCUCUUACGGGUGGCGAGUGGCGGACGGGUGAGGAAUACAUCGGAAUCUACUUUUUCGUGGGGGAUAACGUAGGGAAACUUACGCUAAUACCGCAUACGACCUACGGGUGAAAGCAGGGGAUCUUCGGACCUUGCGCGAUUGAAUGAGCCGAUGUCGGAUUAGCUAGUUGGCGGGGUAAAGGCCCACCAAGGCGACGAUCCGUAGCUGGUCUGAGAGGAUGAUCAGCCACACUGGAACUAAGACACGGUCCAGACUCCUACAGGAGGCAGCAGUGGGGAAUAUUGGACAAUGGGCGCAAGCCUGAUCCAGCCAUACCGCGUGGGUGAAGAAGGCCUUCGGGUUGUAAAGCCCUUUUGUUGGAAAAGAAGAGCAGCAGGUUAAUACCCCGCUGUUCUGACGGUACCCAAAGAAUAAGCACCGGCUAACUUCGUG